AUAGCCUUCAGAAACCACACAAACCCUGUAGAUAAUAAAGCUCCCAAAACAAGAAACCUUGAAUGCUCAUAUGGGAAAUUAAACUUGAGGAAAAUCAUUUCUUGAGGUUCCUUGUUUUAUAGGUGUGAAUUCAAGCGGCAGUGGCUUGUCUAUGUGCUUGGUUGCACACAAUUUCUUGUGGGACACGCUAGAGCUUUUCUUGGGUUACUUCCUCUUGUCUUUGCAUGCAUACUAGAUGGACACGUGGGAUGCUUUAGGUUGGACGUGGCUUUCAUGAGAGAAUUUGAAGUUAGGUGUGUGAUGUUGGUGCAUCCUAGNNNNNNNNNNNNNNNNNNNNNNNNNNNNNNNNNNNNNNNNNNNNNNNNNNNNNNNNNNNNNNNNNNNNNNNNNNNNNNNNNNNNNNNNNNNNNNNNNNNNNNNNNNNNNNNNNNNNNNNNNNNNNNNNNNNNNNNNNNNNNNNNNNNNNNNNNNNNNNNNNNNNNNNNNNNNNNNNNNNNNNNNNNNNNNNNNNNNNNNNNNNNNNNNNNNNNNNNNNNNNNNNNNNNNNNNNNNNNNNNNNNNNNNNNNNNNNNNNNNNNNNNNNNNNNNNNNNNNNNNNNNNNNNNNNNNNNNNNNNNNNNNNNNNNNNNNNNNNNNNNNNNNNNNNNNNNNNNNNNNNNNNNNNNNNNNNNNNNNNNNNNNNNNNNNNNNNNNNNNNNNNNNNNNNNNNNNNNNNNNNNNNNNNNNNNNNNNNNNNNNNNNNNNNNNNNNNNNNNNNNNNNNNNNNNNNNNNNNNNNNNNNNNNNNNNNNNNNNNNNNNNNNNNNNNNNNNNNNNNAUAAAGUAGCCGACCAGUUCACGAAAUGGACAAAGAACAUAUACCUAAACAUUCUUAUGGUGUUCUUGACCUCUGUGUCCACUGCCGUCGGCACGAAUACUAAUUACUAUUACUAUUUAUCUGCAUUUUUUAUUUAUUUUAUGCCCAUUAAUAUUCUAAUCCAUUCUGGAGAACAGAUAAAGAAUAAAAAAUGAAAUUAAUCAAACAUGUUUAAUGUUUUGAGCUUUAACAAAAGUGGAAUCCUUUUUUUGAAUCUUAAAACAUUUUUGGCAGUUAUUUCAGUUAAUUAAAAUGAGUCUAGCUAGGUUGGUGAAUGAGGUUAUUUCUGUAAUUAGAGAUAUAUGGAGAGAAGUUAGGAAUACAGAGACUCAGAGAGGAGGAUUAUUUGUAAAAGGAAAGGAAUCUCCCUCUGACAAUCAACCACGAAACAUCUCUACCAUGAUUUCUCCUUAAAAGAAAGACACAGGCGUUCUCUCCUUGUCUCCUCCUCCCCACCUCUCUUUCUGUGCAGGUUUUUCUAGUAAAACUUGAAGCCAGAAUGGAUAUCCCAGAAAGGGUUUUCCAAUAUAGAUAUCACUUAGCUAUAGCCAUCACUGCUCCGCUUGUUCUUUCCUUGCUAUUAUAUGUUGCUCCCAGGCUGAUCACCGUUCUUGCUUUCUUCUGGCCUUUAUUUGCCUCCACGGCGGUCUUCUUGGUUCUGGUCAUCGUCUUUGGUGGUGUUUCGCAGUUGCAGGCAACAGAUCAUUAUCAUGGUGAAAAAGCAGGUGAAGGGCUUCUUGAUUAUGUUGCGGGGCAGCCAGAGAGUACUGUCGACUGAGCAAUCACAAAAAUACGAGUGAAGAGGUGGUUUCAGUCUUGAGUUCAAGAUCAGCUGGACUGUAUGAGGUCUAAUCUUGUGUUGGAUGAUCAUGAAUAACAUCUGCCAAUGUAUAAGCCCAAGUUGUCUCAAGAAAGUUGAAGAGGAGGAGAAAUUAAGCAGCUUGAAGAUGUGAAAUCCAAUUAUAAUAAUAAUAAUAAUUGUAAAGAUAUGUUCUUUUUAUGCAUCUAACUUCACUUAUAUCUCCUCUUAGCACCUCAAUUUCUUUUUAAUAUUCUUAAAAUUCUUAAGAACAAAAACACCUUCCUGAUCAACUCAAAAUUAAAGAAAUUUUUUUUCCUACAAGAAAUGGAAAUAUAUGUAUUUUCAGACAAGAUUAAGUUUGAAAAAUGAUUGUUUUCGCAACCUGUUUCUAGCUCUACAUUAAGAAUGAAAACCUGCCCUAGUGUGAUUCUAUUUUGUGUUGAACAUGAAAGAAUAAAAGUUUGAAGAGUUAAAUAUUUGAGUGUUCAUAUAUAUAUUCAAUUGUGAGAAAUUGCCCAAACAAGACGUGCAGCACUAGCUUUUCUUCGCAUAUGUAGCAUAUUAAAUUUAUUUCCAUUGUUAAUUAAGUCUAUGUAUUAGCCAAUUCAUCGAACAUAAUCGAUAAAGAUAUGUUUGGUUCAUGUUUUUUUUUUUUAAAUAGUCAAGGCUAACCAGGUAGUUAAAAGCAAAAUAUAUAAAAAAUUUACAAAAAAAGAAAAAGAAAAUAACUAACAGAUACAUAACAGAAAAAAAAAAUCAAAAUUAAAAAAGCUAAUACACCACACUUGAAGCUUUUAUUUGAUGUUAUUAAACUCAAUUAUAAUACAUUCAGGCUCAAUAAUAAAAUCAGUGUCAGCCCCAUAUAUUUGGUGCAUGUAACUGGAAAUGAUGAAUUGUUUUCAUCUUGUGUAUUUAGCUAUAAAUAAUUUUUCAUUUUUUUAAGAAAAAGCUAAGAAUAUUUUCUAUUUCCAUAUUAAUUUAUUCCAUUUUUAAGGACAUGUGUGUUUGUCAAUUAUCAAAUAAGAUUUAAAACAAUAAAUAGUAGAUUUGUUUAAGAAAUUAAAUAUUGUAAUUUGUAGGAUUUGUGCAUUUGGUUAUUGGAUAUGGUUUCAUUCAAGCGAUACACUAUCAAGAUUUAUUAUACCUAAAAUAAAAAUAUAGAUGAACUUCUAUAAUCUAUUCUUCACCGAUUAAGUAUUGAUUUUGAUUAUUCACGUAGUUAUAAAACCUAAUUUAGUAAAGUUCAGGUCAAGGUUUAGAAUGAUCAACUUUUUUUGUUGAAUCAAAAUUAAUAAAUUAAUUAAGAGUCAGAUUUUAACUAGAUCAAUUAAUUUUUUUUUUAACUUUUUAUCUUUUAUUUAAUAUGGACCGGAAGUAUGGAUUUUAAAAUUAUAAUAGUGAGUGUAAAAAACAAAUUUGAACCUUAAUAUUGCCAUGUAGGAAACAACAUAAUUGAGUAUUUUGAUUACUUUUUCCAUUCAUAACUUGCAGAGGCAAUGGGUAUAUUUUCAACUUGCGUACAGGGGACAGAUUGCUCUAUAUAUAUAUAUAUAGACUUUCAGAUGCGCAAAUCGUAUAAUCUCUUUUAGAGGUAUAAUAAAAAGUGAAGCAUUUCAAUAAAUCUUUCCACGCAAAGCAGCAAAAAAAUGCGUUCCCUUUCAAGAAAUUAUUCAAGUUCGAGAAAUUUUGAAACCAUUUCCAAAAAAGGAUGAUCACCUGCCUUUUUUUUGCAGAAACUAGCUAGGAUGUUUUCUAAAUAAUUGAAACUGAAUGUCAUUUGCAUCGAAUUCAGCAUAAUUAAAGAAUGGCAAACAAUACGAUUAAUCUUCAAAGAAUAUGUAUAUGGUUUAGGAAUAGUGAGCUUCUGCAAAUUAAUGUCAGAAGGUCACAAGCUCAAAUCCUUUUAUAUAUAGAGCAAUUAACUGAUAUAUAUAUAGAAAGAACAACACAAUUAUUCUAACAAUAAAAGAAAUUGCAAUAUAAAAAGAAUGUUGCCUGGCCUGGUUUCGUCUUUCACUAGGCAAUCAUGCUACUCAUUUUCUAUUCUCACAGGAAUGUCUGAGCUAAGAUGACUGAGAAGGAAUUAUAUCUGAUUCUGUCAAGGUCCCUGACUGAUCAACAUCAAGUUUUCUGAAUCUCUCCAUCACUAAUGAAAUAUCUUCCUGGCUUAUCUUCCCCAUCUCCUUCAACGUGUACACAAUGAACUCUGCAGCACUGAUCAACAACCAAACAUUGGAUGCACGUACAGAUUUUUCAAGGCAUUGGUAACGGAACAAAGGCAGGGAUAAGUCGUGCUAUGAUCAGCUGUUCCUUACCUUACAGUUUUAUCGUGAUCAAUAUCUGCUUCCUCGAGAUCUGAGGCUGUGACAUUUCGAGCGAGAACCCGUUGAACGAGUAAUCUUUGCCUCUUUUCAGUGUAUAAUUCAGCAAGGUAGAGAAAGAAUUGAGCUAAGCAAAUGGUGCUGCUCAGUAUCCAGAAGACAGCAAAUACUCGACCAGCCCUGGUUGAGAAGCUGUCAUCUCCGUAUCCAAGAGUAGUGAUGGAAGAACAGACACAGUAAAAUGCAUCGACAAAUUCGAAACUCUCAACCAGAUAUAAGAAGAUGGUUCCAACUAUUAUGAGGAGAAAGAGAAGGAUUAGGGCGAGAAGAAACUUGUACUUGACUUUAUGUGUUUCAACCUCUUCUAGGAUCUCAGACAAACCAGUUUCUUCGUUCAUGUGCAUUGCUCUAACCAAGAGAAUCUCCUGCUUUUCUACGAUGUAAUCCGCUGCCUUGCUGAGAAUUAUCCCACCAAGAGCCAUGCCUGCAAAGACAUAAACGCACGAAAGAAGCUUGGCCAGUGUAGUAUGAGGCACUAGAUCUCCAUAUCCAACUGUUGUCAUUGUCACAACAGAGAAGUAAACACCAUCAACAAUCCCAUUUGUUUUCUUGCCUUCGAUCUGAUUCAUGAUAAGGGAGAAACAUAGAGUGCCUACACCUAGAUAGAUAGCCAAGACAAGGAACACUUUCUUGAAGCUACAAUCUUGAUUCUCAAGUAAUGAUUCGAGCCAUUUGAGAGAUGAGUUGCCAUCCUGCUCAGGAUGUUUGAUCUCUGUUACAUUGACAUUCAUAGGCUGCCUAAAUCUUCUUCUCUGAAGAGCAUUCUUUUCAUCUGGAAGCAAUGACUGCGUCGCAUCAUCACUGGCCAUCAAAAACAAGAAGAACAGAGAUGCAAGCCCUUCAAAUUAUACCCUGCAUGGAAACGUAAAACCAAUGAAUUUUUUUCUAUUUAAUUUGAAACUUGCAUUCCAUAAAGAAGUUAACAAAAGGAAAGGAAAGAGAUAUCAAAGACCAUGGAGAUUAUUGAAAAGGGAAAGUUCUGGAUUUGCCUCACAAAACUCUUAAAAAAUUGUUGAUGUUUUAGACCCCAUGUAAAUCUUGAAAGAUCAAUGCAAAUUGAUAAUCACAGAAAUCACGCUAAUGUUUCCAUGUGGCUUAAGUUCUUGCCCGUAAUAAAGUCCUGAUUUUGGGAUUGCGGUUACCAAAUCCAAAAGAAGUCAAAACCUGCCAUGAUUUUCUAUCAAGUCAAAUCCUUGGUACUUGUUAUUUGUUACAAAUCAGCCAGUCAUAAGCUGGACAGAAUUUGUUUACAGCUUUUAUUUGACAAGUUUGCCUCGUUUAGAAUUAAAAAUGUAAUAAAUUCUUUCCUCCUUUCACAAGUCCAAUUCUGAACACAUGGAGGUGAGCGCUAUACUACGGUUAGAUUAAAAUUAAUUUAAAAAAUAUUCAAGCCAUAUAAAGUUAUUUGAACAUUUUAUUAAGGUUAAUUUUGAAAUCUUUUAACAAAAUCUCUUGCAUAAUCUAAAUUUAAAAGCAAGGUUAUUUUGAUAUAAAUCAAAUGAUUUAGUUAGUUUAAAAACAACAUGAGCAACUAAUAAAAAAAAUUAAGGAUAAAAUUAAAAGAUUUAAAAUUAAACAAUAUAGAAAAUAUCCAAGUGUAAUUCAUUUGACAUAACAGGUUCAUAGUCAACCUAAAUAGAUAUUAUCAAGUAAAAAAAAGUUAUUGAUAAAUUAAAAAAAAAAUAGAGAGCCACUACAUUCUUGUAAAGAAAAUUGAAACUACUUUUAACUAAAAUAUAUUAUAGCAAGUUAAUUUUAUUUAGGAUGGAUUAGAAGGUAGAAUGCUGGUUUUAGCUAGGCAUAUUGAUUGAUUUAUUUUUAAUUUAUGGUUAUCUUUUAGACUUUAGUUUCUCAUGGGCAUUAGGAGUUACAAAUGAUGUUGGAUCUUUAUUGUUUUUAUUAGAACUUCUAUAUCACAUGAAUCAAACAAAACAAUAAGUUGAUAACCUAAUAUUUAAAAGUUUUUUUUUUUAUAUCUUUAAUGGGUUAUUGUGGUUGGUUGAUAGAUCUAAUUUCUAAUAUGGAUAUGCUAAUAUUAAAAAUAAAUUUGAAAAAAUAAAAUACAUUUUAUCUUUUUUAUUAUUAUUAUUAUUAUUUUUGCAAAAGGAUAGCCUUGCACUUAAGAUAGGGUAAUAAUAAGAGGAUUAAAUUAGAAAAUAAAAAGGAUGAGACGAAAAUAAAAUAAAACGAAGAAUAGAGGGACCAAAUGCACCACUAACCAUUUUGUUUUAGCUACUGCAAGAAGAAGAAGCAGAAACACAAGUUAAAGAGCUCUCAAAGUCUCAACGCCGGCUGUCUCCUCCGUCUUCCACGGGUACGUGCUUAGAUUGUUCUUUUGUUUUUCUUAAGGUCAGGGAAAUUUCAUAAAACGGGUAGUUAGUUUAGUGCUUUCUUUUGAUUCUUUUUUUUCUUUUCCAGUGAAGGGUUUAUGCUGCCAGCUUUCUUAGAAAGGUUUAGAGAGUAUUUAUGUACAACUGAGACAGUUAUAGACUGAUAGGUUUUAGUUUUUGAAGUGGAAUUAAUGACAUCUGUGCCGUCGAAAAAUAUAUGGAUAAAGAGGCAGCAAUGCCCAUGUGGGGAUUGGAAAUGUUAUGUUACUUGUGAAGGAGAUGUUGAAGAGGCAUCUGUAGCAUCUCAGUUGGAAAAAAAUGAAACUUUUCAAUCUGAUUCAAUGGUUUCUCCUUAUGUAGGAAUGGUGUUUAAGAGUGAUGAUGAUGCGUUCGAGUAUUAUGGGAAUUUUGCUAGGAAAAAUGGGUUUUCUAUUAGGAAAGAGAGGUCAAGAUUGAGCCCUCAAUUGGGUAUUUAUAAACGUGAUUUUGUUUGUUAUCGUUCGGGGUUUGCGCCGGCUAGGAAGAAGUCGACUGCAGAACACCAUAGGGAUAGGAAAUCGGUGCGGUGUGGAUGUGAUGCAAAAAUGUAUUUGUCAAAGGAAGUUGUUGAAGGGGUUUCUCAAUGGUUUGUUGUGCAAUUUAGCAAUGUGCAUAAUCAUGAGCUUUUGGAAGAUGAUCAAGUGAGGCUCCUUCCAGCUUAUCGGAAGAUUCAAGAGGCGGAUCAGGAGAGGAUUCUUUUGCUUUCAAAAGCUGGGUUCCCAAUACAUCGAAUAGUGAAGGUGUUGGAGUUGGAAAAGGGUAUUCAAGGUGGGCAAUUGCCUUUUCUAGAGAGGGAUGUUAGGAAUUUUGUUCAAAAUCGCAAGAAGAUUGUUCAAGAGAAUGAUGCUUUGCUCACUGAAAAGAGAGAGAAUGAUAGUAUGGAACUUCUUGAGGCCUGCAAAGUUACCAAAGAGAUGGAUGGAGAUUUUGUUUAUGAUUUCACAAUGGAUGAGAAUGAUAAGGUUGAGAACAUUGUGUGGUCGUAUGGUGACUCUGUUCGUGCAUACACUUUGUUUGGUGAUGUGGUUUAUUUUGACACUAGUUAUCGUUCUAUCACAUAUGGCAUGCUAUUAGGGGUAUGGCUUGGAAUUGACAACAAUGGGAAGACCGUAUUCUUUGGCUGUGUUCUGUUGCAGGAUGAGACGGCUCGUUCCUUUGCAUGGGCUUUGCAGGUUUACUAAUUCAAUCCCAUGAGUUGAUUUUAUUUCUGUGUAUUUUUCUCUUGCAGUUACCAUUUUCUGUUUUUGUUACAGGCUUUUGUCCAUCUUAUGAAAGGAAAAUGUCCACAAACAAUUCUAACUGACCUUGAACUGGGGCUUAAGGAUGCUGUUAGAAGCGAAUUACCUAGCACUAGACACGCUAUAUCUAUAUGGAAUAUUCAACCCAAGAUAUCCAGUUGGUUUUUCCUUUCCCUUGGGGCUAGAUAUCCAGAAUUUAAAUCAAUCUUUGAUGAUUUGUAUCAUGCUGAGAACGCAGAUGAUUUUGAACAUAGAUGGAGUCAGAUGGUUUCUUUGUUUGGAUUUGGUUCAGAUAAACACAUUGCUUUACUCUAUUCUCUUCGUGCAUCCUGGGCAUCAUCCUAUAUGAGAGGUUACUUUCUUGCUCGGAUGGCGACAUCAGCAUAUUUGAAAUCUGUAGAGUCAUUUCUGAAAGCAAUCUGUUGUGCACAAACAUGUUUACGGAGCUUCUUUGAACAGGUAUAUCAAAGGCAUAUAUUUUUUUUGAAACUCUUGAAUGGGAAGGUUUUUGUUGAAAUUUUUGUCUUGUUGAUUAUUUUUUUUGUUGUUGGUACUCUUGUAGGUUGGUAGCUCCUCCAAUUUCCAGAACCAGCUACGUCAAGAGAUGCAGUACAUGCUCACUAAAACAUGCAUGCCUAUUGAAGAGCAUGCACGUAAUUUUCUUACACCUUUUGCCUUCAAUGAUUUCCAACAUGAAUUGGUGCUCUCUAUGCAAUGUGCUCUGUCUGAAAUGCCGGAUGGAUCAUAUCUUGUACACCACUACAAAAAGAUGGAUGUUGAGCGGCUUGUAAUAUGGAUACCAGAAGAUGAACAGAUUCACUGCACCUGUAAGGAAUUUGAGUCUUCCGGGAUGUUGUGCAGACACACUCUUCGGGUGUUCAUCCUGAAAAACUACUUUCAGCUUCCUGAAAAAUAUUAUCUUAGCAGAUGGCGAAGGGAAAGCUCCCUAGUUUUCUAUGAUAAUCAAGAUACUCAAACUAAUGAUGAUGGAUGGUUUCAAGAAUUUCAAUCCCUGACUGAAACUCUAUUAACAGAGUCAUCAAUCACAAAGGAGCGUUCUGAUUAUGUCCAUAGGGAACUGCCAAAGGAACUGAAAAGACUUAUUAGUGAGGUUAGAAAAAUGCCAGAAAGUGAUGGAGUUGCUAUGGAUUUAACACUUUCACCAUCUAGUUAAUUUACAGUAGGUGCAAAUAUGUCUGGUAAGUUACCAAGGGGACGGCAUGAUCAUUGGCAGGAAGAUGUCUGGGUGUUUUUGUUGCUCAUUUUCAUCAGAAAGAGAAUUUUGGAAAGAAAAGCUAACCUGAAGUAGAUGUAUGAAGUGUUGCUCAGAUGCAACAAGUUGACAUUGUUUCCUUUGUGAAUAACUAUGGAAGACUGCAAAAAAUAUGAAUUGGACCAAAAUGAACUCAACCAAGGUGAUGUACUACAUAAAUUAUCAAAAAUGUGUUUUGCUAAACAAAAGAAUGACAGUAAAAGAGAUUUUUCUUAUCGUGUUCUUGGCUUUUUAUUUCUUUCUAAGAAACUUAAUGUCAUUUGCCUAACUGCUUGUUCUUGUCAUGAACGCAUGCUAAAACAUUUUCCAUGCUUUCUCUUGCUGCGGUCAUUUCCAGUUGUGCACAAAUGGAAUAGGUUGUAGUUUUCAAUCUUCUUUCUUUAGUCUCAAAGAACAAGAUAGAAGGGAGGAAAAACAAAAAAAAAGAAGAGAGGCUGUAUUUGUAGCUCUUUGUAAAUUCUCUAUUCAAUUUGGUGAUUAAUUAAGUAAUUCUAGCUGUCUGUAAACCCAAUCACAUUUGAUAGUUUUGUGGCUGAUUACCUAACAAUCCUUUUUUUAAUGUUUUGAAGUCUGCUUGUUAGGAAGUCGACAACUAUCUGCCAAUAUGUGGAAGAGAUAGUAGUUUUAUUUUUCAUCAAUUAUUGUUUCCUUUAUAUCAUGCACCAUAAUACAAUGAGAGGUUAUUGUGGAGAUAUUAUAAUAGAUAUUCCACUUUUAAGACAAAGGCUAUCUGAUGUUAGGAAAGUGUACUACUAAUUGUCCUAACUAACAUCAUAGGAAAAAUGAUGAUGCUUAAAGUUUACUGGUUGAAAUAACUGAAUUUCUGCUUAUGUUAUUAAUUCAUAGAAAAAGCAUAAAGGACUGAUCUGACUGUUGUGUUAUUCAUAAACAUCUACCCUUAUUUGUUCUGUCUUCUGCAGUUGAUACCUUUUGUUGUACAAUAGGUCGACAGAGUGUUGGUGGUUGUGCCAACAAUUUCUAUAUAAAUCAAUAUUUAUAUCUGAAAUUGAGAAAUGAAUACAUGUGUCUGAUUAUGAGUAGUCAGGACUUCCACAAGCAACUGAAAUGAUAUUAAUCUAUUUAUUCCCAAACAUAAGAGCAUGUGAGCCAUGUUACUUCUUGAUGUAUUUGUUCACCAAAAUAAUAAAAUCUUACUACUUAAUGGAUUUUUUCUAAUUUUUUAACAAGUGCAUGAUGGAUUGGGUUAUCCGCCUGAUGUUUGAGAAGGCUCCAUUUAAUCCCAGAGUUUUAUUUCCUGUAUUGUUUGAUUGUGUUUUAAUCUAUUCAAUCUAAUAAUUAUUAUAGGUUUUUAAACAGUUAUGAAUAUGAUUCGAUAUAACUUGGAAUUCCAGAGGAUGCAAUUGUGCUGCUAGCAUCUGGUAUUCAUUUACGCACACAUAAAUGUACAUAUGCAUCUAUUUAGCCAAGUAUGUAGGCUGUAGAAUCCUUGUUGAUUUUGAAAUCAUUGACAUCUAGAGCAGCUUGUCAUUUCUUGGCUCCCCAUAAACUCAUGCCCGGAAGAAUUAAAAUAAUUAUUGGUUUACCAAUAUGCUUGUUACAAUUUUGCCAUCUAAAUGCCACAAAAUUUUGAACCAAAUGCUUUAGUUGUUGAGUUGAAGUUUGUCAAAGCUGUUUCAUCAUAGAUGAUAAUGAGCUGUAUAAUCGUGUUUGUUUGUGGUUCCAUUUGCAUCACUGCUCUAAAAAUUUUGUGCCCAUCAGAGCUUCUGGACAAACGGAAGCAUGCAGAAAAUUAGGUGUGUUCUAGUGAUAGCUAUAUUGUUUCUUGGUUUAAGCUUCGACUGUUGCCGCCCUUUUUUACAUGAUAUUUUUCCUGUGUGAAACUUUUUUGCUACCUCUCAACCUUUUACUGAAAACAUUCAUACGCAAAAAGCCAAGAACCACAAGUUAUAGCAGAUUGUUGUGUGCAUGAUUCACUAGUUUAUUGAUCCAUGCCAUGUCCAUGUUUGAUUUUUUCCCCUGAAGGAUUUUUAAGACUCUGUCUACCAUACAAGUGUCCUCAAGUAGGAUUUCAAGGAUCCACACAUUCACAUUAUUGUACUGAUUUUUGUACAUUCAGGAUCAUGCAUUCUUUCAUUUAAAAAAUUGUUUUCUUUAAGAGUGAUUGUUAAACUGUUAGACACUAGAAUUAUUGGCAAUAAUUUCUGACUUGCUGUCGUGUCUUCGUUUGCAGACAGAUGGAAAUGGAGUCCAAGUUCCAGUCAUUCCAACCCAUUCUCCCAUUGAGGCCCUUCUAGAUUUAUCCCCCAUGGUGUGCUGUUGCAGGUAUGCAUUUGACAUGGUUCAUUCAUUUCAAAUCUUCAUGCAGGGAGGGGUCCCUCUUGAUUAGAAACCGUGGCCAUGAUAUUUGUCAGGAAAAUAAAUAGAGGGAGUAGAAAUGAAUACUGCCAAGUUCUAACCACAUAAGCAUACUAACUACAUUGAAUGGUCGGUUUCUAUGGUCGGUUUCUGUACUGUACCAUGUAGUAGAUGACAAAAGGGCAAUACAUAUCUGCUCUCAAUUUCGUUUUAUUGUCUUCUUGUUGUAAUGCAAAUAUCAACUCGCCGAACUUCUACCGCUCUAUAAUAUUAUUGCAUGGUCAUAUAAAGUUGACAAGAUUCCUGAUUAUUUUCAUGAAAUAUAAGCAUAAACACAAGUGACGGACCCUAAUCUUUUGUCUUGUUAAUGUUACGGGGCCAUGAGCACGUGGCAGUUAGCAGCUGCAAUUAGGGAACUUUUGGCAGCGAGAUGGAAGCACGUGGAAAGUGGUCUUAGGCUCAUUUGGUAUCAUUUAUUUGUCUAAUUGGGGGUAACAUUAAUAGGAUUUUUUUGAAAAAAUAAAGGGGUGUGGUAUAGAUAAUUACAUGCUUAAAAAGCUGAUUAAAGGCUCUUUUCUCAUUCUGGACAUUUGCAUAGGAUUUCGAAUCCGGGUUCUUUCUCUUACAAUUUGGGAUAGAUUCAUAUCUUUGUGGGCCAUACCUGAUAUGACUUGAUAAUCAAAGUCCUAUCAAUAUCAAAGUUUGCUUUCAUUUCUCAUGAGAUUUUUCUUAUCCUUUCUUACAUCCUUUGGAAUUUGAUGUGCAAGAUACAUACUCUACUAGCAAUCUUACAACAUAUGUACUUGAAAGCUUGGUUUGAAAUAUUUAAUAUUCAAAAUGAAGCCUAUCCAGAUGAUAAAAAAUAAGCAUUAAGCGCUCUCUCUCUCUCUCUCUCUCUAUAUAUAUAUAUAUAUAUAUAUAUAUAUAUAUGGUUUUCAUUUUCAUCUAACGCAUGUGGUUAUAAGAAAUGAUUGGUGUAGAAAAAGUGGAAGUCCCUCUAGUAUUUGGUUAAAAUUUCCCUGGUAGCCUAUUUAUUUGUGUGUUUAGGGUGCUUUUUCGUGGCAGCUUUUUAUUACAGCUAGGGCAAUGAGUAAACUAGAACUGCUUUUGAUAGUAAAAUGAAUCUAGAACUCCCUUUUAACAUAGAGAAAAUAAAAUAUCUGUGAUUGGAUUUAAAGAUGGCAUUAUAUUAUACCAACAUACUACUAGCUUGGACUGCUGAAAAUCUAGAAUGUAAUGAAGACAGAAUUUACCACAUAUUCCACAACGAUUUAGCUUGUUUUGCACCACCAAGACAACCGACCACAAUUUUUAUACAAUUUUACAAGCAUCAAUAAUUAUAUUGAAUAUCUCAGGCAAGUUAUCAUAUUUUAUUUUGUUCACAUCACAUCCAUCUUUUAUAUGCACAUCCUUGUCUUUCUAGUAUUUUCCACAGUGCUUGGGAGUCCUGAAAUCUACCUAAACCCUUUGGAAUAGUAGCAUCUUCUUGAUUCAUGCAAAACAAAUUUCUUCUUGAUUCAUGCAAGACAGAAAGGGAAAAGGGGAGAGAGAGAGAGAGAGAGAGAUUGGACUCAUUAUUUAUUAGCUAAUUUGGAGAAGAAGAAACUAGGACCACAGCUGAGUGUACAAGGCCCAGUUAUCACACUACAAGGAAAGUGACGGCUUUUACAUGAUGAAAGGGGGAGGGAUUUGAGAUCGGGAAGCAUUGACAAGGACUAAAAGCUAAUGGACAUGAAAGCUUUGCCAUGAAAAACUAUGACUAAAGCUUUAAACAACUAAAAAUGCAUAUAUAUUACACUGCAAUUAGUUGUUGUUGAGCUUCAAUCCUUAUUUCUUCUUUCAUUUUCCUUAUAAAUUCCUCAAUUCUCCUGUUCAAUUCUUCAGUACUUGCCAACUCCUCGUUUCCUUCUUCUUCCUCUUGUUUCACCAAGCACUCUCUUUUUUCUUCCAUGUACUCUUCUUCUUCUGUAAUCAAAGCUUGACUUGAAGUAGCCUCCUCCUCCUCCUCCUCCUCCUCUUCAGUUGCAAGAACAAUAUCCUCUAGAGAUUCAACACUUGCCACCUGAACUUCUUGAUCAUCAACAGUAGCCUCAGCUUUGGCAGAAGAUAAGGUAGGUGCUGAUGAAAACUGCCUUUCAUCACCGAGAUUAGACUGGUCAACAGAAGCAGGAGUUUUUGAAGAAGAAACCGAACUCUUGGCAAGAAUAGCAAGGAUUCCAUUACAAAUGAGAAACAUAUACUUCCUCUCUAGGUAAUGACUAAGAAAUGAGAAUACACCAGUAUUAUUAAUAUAUAAAAUCAAGGGUUUGGGAAACAAAGAAAAGCCUGAAGAGAAGCAAAGAAACAAAGAAAAUAAGGAGACUGAGAUAAGAAACUGCAAAGUCCUUCUCAAGAAAUGGUACUGGUAAGUUUGGUCCUGCAUCUUUAUGGUUUCUUCUUGGCCAAAGAUGUAGGAGUAUGCUCUCUUGGAAGUGGCAGUAGUCUGAAGGGUACGUGACCUUGGAAGGGAGGGUUAGUGUAUUGGUUUGGUAAGUACUCGAGAUGAUUUGAUUGUUGAAUGAAAUUGAAGGGUCUCUCCUUAUUUAUACCAAUCUCCAAGCUAGCACCCUUUUUGGUAGACUUACAAAAACGACCUUGUUGGUAUGAGCAGAGGGCACGAAGUGGAACUUUCUAAAAGAAUUUGGGGCAGAAGAGAAGAGAAGAGAAGAAAAGGUGAGUCAACUUCUCCUGUUGGGUAAAUUAUAGUUUAAACCCUAUAGUUAGGAAUGUAAGCACAGAUCGGAGAAAUGUCUCGUUAUAUAAAAACAAAUUGAUGAAAAAAAUAAAAAAGUGUGAGGACGUUAUUGAAGGAUAGGGACUAAAAUAUAGUUUAUCAUAAAAAGUGCUUUUGCAAGCAUCAAUUGUAAAGAAAUGCAAUAAGAUUCUUUGGAGGAAAAAUAGAGGUGGGUGCUUCUUUGAAGUUUCCAGUGGGCACUUAAAACAAGGUAGGAACAGUACCAUUACUUUAUUUUUUCCCCUUCCCCGUUGUAUAUUUGGACAUGUAAUUUGAUCUUCAACCAUCAAUAUUAAUUAAUCUAGGAAAGCUGUACAAAUCCUUACUACUAUUAUGUGGACCCUAUGCUUAAUUAUUUGAGUUUCCGGUUAUAAAAUUGUUUUUUUUUUCCUGUAUGAAUAGUCAACACUCAACAUCAUGCAAUGAGCUCAAAAGAAAAAAAAGGAAAAAAAAAAACUUUAAACAAUGCAUGAGUUAUUAAGAAGGUUUUUGGAGUGUGAUAAUUAUGAUAGUUGAAAUUGUUUUUUUUUUGUUUAGAAAUGUAUUAAAGUUAAAUAUUUUUAUUUUUUUUUUAAUAUUAAUAUAUUAAAACGAUCUGAAAUAAAAAAAAAAGAAAAAAAAAAGUUUUAAAAUUUUUAAGAAAUUGUUAUUUUAACCACAUUUCCAAACAUUGUUUAAGAGGUGUUUUGUUUUCAUAGCUGGUUGUGUGUUUUAAAAAAAUUUAAAAGUUUUUUAAUUAAAAUUUAUUUUUUAAAAAAUUAUUUUGAUAAGUUAAUGUUAAAAUUAAAUUUAAAAAAUAUAUUAUUUUAAUAUAUUUUAAAGUGAAAAAUAUUUCAAAAAAUAAUUACCACAACAAUAAUUAACAGGAUGUAAAUUGACCACUGGAUUCAUUAUGCACCCAAAAAUACACCAUAAUGACAGUAAAACAAGUCAUUUACAGCUUAAUUAGUAUUCAUGAAUCAUGCACGAGCUUCUAAUGAGCGCUAAUUGCAUGGAGUUUCUUGUUUGCCUGUAGUUUUGGAACCAAGACUCGAUGGAGUGUAAUUCCAACAGCGGGAUCAUGGCUCGACGACUCUAAUUUCGAGGAGGGAGAACUUCGACAUCGAAAGAUAAGUAAGUGAAAUGACGAGCAGGAUUAGAGAUUCGAAGAGGAGGCGGCGACACCCUGGUUUGGACAACUACCUUUGCAAUGCUCUGUUCCAUUUUCCCUGCUCUCCAAUAAAACCCCAUCUUGUAUGUCUCUGUUUGUACUGAUAAAAAUUGUGUCGUCUCCAUUUCUGUUCUUGUGGCUGAGUCUCUGAUUUGAGGUUAAUGUUUACUGAAGUACUGAAACGGGGACAAGUUACAGGUGUUCUGCUAUAAGUAAAGCGUGAGAGCAGCCCGUAGAGUUUUGACUUUAGAGUAAUGUUUUCUCGAUAUUGGGCUCUCUUCCGAGGCUCCGUUGUUAUUAUCAGGCUUCAAUAAAGCUUUAGCAGAAACUAAAUUGGUCUUGCAUUUUUCACCCAAUUUAUAGUGGCCUGAUAUGAAUGUGAAGAUAAGGCAAUCACAGGCUAGGUCCGAGCCUUGACCAUGAACACACAUAAAAGAAUGCCUACGGUACUGCUUGAGAAGAUAAGGCGAGCGCUUGCAGGAUGAAAUUGUCCACGGUUUGCUCAUGGUCUUAAUCCUUGAAGUCAGAUCAGAGAUCUUCUCAUCUUCAUAUAGAUUUAACAAAGGGGAAAACAUGUCAAUCUAGCAAUAAUCGUCGUUAAAAUCCAUCAGAGAUGCUCCUAAGCAUGACAGAAAGCACCUGAGAAACUACCCCAAAACGAGAAGAACGAGUGCAGCAGAAAUGGGGCUCUUAAGCAAUUCCCCUACAGGCCGGGAAGAUUGUGUAAACAGCACCUGUGCGUGCUCUUCAUCACUGUACUGUCCCAAAACUCUUCCAUUAAUGCUGGCCCUUCUUCAGGACCUGAAGCUAAUGCCUUCUCUCAUCCAUAGCCUUCAGAAACCACACAAACCCUGUAGAUAUAUAAAGCUCCCAAAACAAGAAACCUUGAAUGCUCAUAUGGGAAAUUAAACCUGAGGAAAAUCAUUUCUUGAGGUUCCUUGUUUUAUAGGUGUGAAUUCAAGCGGCAGUGGCUUGUCUAUGUGCUUGGUUGCACACAAUUUCUUGUGGGACACGCUAGAGCUUUUCUUGGGUUACUUCCUCUUGUCUUUGCAUGCAUACUAGAUGGACACGUGGGAUGCUUUAGGUUGGACGUGGCUUUCAUGAGAGAAUUUGAAGUUAGGUGUGUGAUGUUGGUGCAUCCUAGCCAGGAGGUG
This 16311-nucleotide long non-coding RNA is filed under the name Populus tremula. RNAcentral describes it as "long non-coding RNA (PTRE_LNC001135)". Lineage: Eukaryota; Viridiplantae; Streptophyta; Magnoliopsida; Malpighiales; Salicaceae. The record is from RNAcentral.